This 309-nucleotide ribosomal RNA is filed under the name Tetraclita squamosa. RNAcentral's name for it is "partial 12S ribosomal RNA". Lineage: Eukaryota; Metazoa; Arthropoda; Thecostraca; Balanomorpha; Tetraclitidae. The record is from RNAcentral.
UUGGAGUAGUAUUAUUAAUGAAAUUUAACGGAUUUGGCGGCAAGAUAGCCCCUUAGAGGAACCUGCCCUGUAAACGAUGAGCCACGAGGUACUCUACUUUUUUUGGUAAUCAGUUUGUAUAUCGCUGUUGUCAGUUAGAUUCUUGAGAAUAUUUUCGUUCAUGAUAAGUUCAUUGACUUCAAGUAAAGGUGCAGCUUAUAAAAAAGAUAGAGGUGGGUUACAUUUAUAAGAAUAAAACGGAAAGGGUAGUUGAAAUAGUCCUUGAAGGUGGAUUUAACUGUAAAACUUAAAUAGGUUUGGUGAGAGCUC